This 371-nucleotide ribosomal RNA is filed under the name uncultured bacterium. RNAcentral describes it as "bacterial SSU rRNA". It matches the Rfam family "Bacterial small subunit ribosomal RNA", at positions 420 to 806 of the family's 1533-position model. The record is from RNAcentral.
GGGUUGUAAACUUCUUUUAAGUGGGAAGAGUAGAAGACGGUACCACUUGAAUAAGCCACGGCUAACUACGUGCCAGCAGCCGCGGUAAUACGUAGGUGGCAAGCGUUGUCCGGAUUUACUGGGUGUAAAGGGCGUGCAGCCGGGCAUGCAAGUCAGAUGUGAAAUCUCAGGGCUUAACCCUGAAACUGCAUUUGAAACUGUAUGUCUUGAGUGCCGGAGAGGUAAUCGGAAUUCCUUGUGUAGCGGUGAAAUGCGUAGAUAUAAGGAAGAACACCAGUGGCGAAGGCGGAUUACUGGACGGUAACUGACGGUGAGGCGCGAAAGCGUGGGGAGCGAACAGGAUUAGAUACCCUGGUAGUCCACGCUGUAAA